UUGGAGGGCAAGUCUGGUGCCAGCAGCCGCGGUAAUUCCAGCUCCAAUAGCGUAUAUUAAAGUUGUUGCAGUUAAAAAGCUCGUAGUUGAACUUCGGAAUUUGUUCAUUGGUCAGGCUUUACUGUCUGUACUGGUGUGACGAAUUUCUAUCUUCUGAGGAAUCUUCAUGUCAUUAAUUUGGUGUGGGGGGGAAUCAGGACUGUUACUUUGAAAAAUUAGAGUGUUUAAAGCAGGCUAACGUCUGAAUACAUUAGCAUGGAAUAAUGAAAUAGGACGGUUUGGUUCUAUUUUGUUGGUUUCUAGGAUCACCGUAAUGAUUAAUAGGGAUAGUUGGGGGCAUUAGUAUUCAAUUGUCAGAGGUGAAAUUCUUGGAUUUAUUGAAGACUAACUACUGCGAAAGCAUUUGCCAAGGAUGUUUUCAUUAAUCAAGAACGAAAGUUAGGGGAUCGAAGACGAUCAGAUACCGUCGUAGUCUUAACCAUAAACUAUGCCGACUAGGGAUCGGACGAAGUUAAUUUUUAAAUGACUCGUUCGGCGCCUUACGGGAAAC
Molecule: ribosomal RNA, 550 nt
Filed under: uncultured Diversisporaceae
Lineage: Eukaryota; Fungi; Glomeromycota; Glomeromycetes; Diversisporales
Description: SSU rRNA
Rfam family: Eukaryotic small subunit ribosomal RNA
Source: RNAcentral